AUUGAACGCUGGCGGCAGGCCUAACACAUGCAAGUCGAGCGGCUGAAGGGAGCUUGCUCCUGGAUUCAGCGGCGGACGGGUGAGUAAUGCCUAGGAAUCUGCCUGGUAGUGGGGGAUAACGUCCGGAAACGGGCGCUAAUACCGCAUACGUCCUGAGGGAGAAAGUGGGGAAUCUUGGGACCUUCGGCACUUGAUCGACCCGAGGUCGGAUUAGCUAGUUGGUGGGGUAAAGGCCUACCAAGGCGACGAUCCGUAACUGGUCUGAGAGGAUGAUCAGUCACACUGGAACUGAGACACGGUCCAGACUCCUACGGGAGGCAGCAGUGGGGAAUAUUGGACAAUGGGCGAAAGCCUGAUCCAGCCAUGCCGCGUGUGUGAAGAAGGUCUUCGGAUUGUAAAGCACUUUAAGUUGGGAGGAAGGGCAGUAAGUUAAUACCUUGCUGUUUUGACGGUACCAACAGAAUAAGCACCGGCUAACUUCGUG
RNAcentral lists this ribosomal RNA (484 nucleotides) under uncultured bacterium. Its description in RNAcentral is "partial 16S ribosomal RNA". It matches the Rfam family "Bacterial small subunit ribosomal RNA", at positions 30 to 507 of the family's 1533-position model. The record is from RNAcentral.